AACGCACCUUGCGCUCCUUGGUAUUCCUCGGAGCAUGCCUGUUUGAGUAUCAUGAAAUCUUCAAAGCAAAUCCUUUUGUUAACUCAAUUGGGUUCUGCUUUGGUAUUGGAGGUCUUUGCAGCUUCACACCUGCUCCUCUUUGUUCAUUAGCUGGAUCUCAGUGUUAUGCUUGGUUCCACUCGGCGUGAUAAGUUAUCUAUCGCUGAGGACACCGUAAAAAGUGGCCAAGGUAAAUGCAGAUGAACCGCUUCUAAUAGUCCAUUGACUUGGACAAUAAUUUUUAUGAUCUGAUCUCAAAUCAGGUAGGACUACCCGCUGAACUUAA
RNAcentral lists this unclassified non-coding RNA (325 nucleotides) under uncultured fungus. RNAcentral's name for it is "sequence contains ITS2". The record is from RNAcentral. Lineage: Eukaryota; Fungi.